UGUGGUGACAAAAAUGUUUGAAUAUUCAUAUUUAAUGUUCAACAGUAACUGAAACAAGAUUUUUAAAAAAGAAAAAAGAAAAAGAAGAAGAAGGAAUCUUGGAAUGUAAUCAAUUAGUUUGCUUGAGUUUGAUGGUUUUGGAAAGCACAUCUUGAAAAUGUGCUAUUAAGAGUAAAAGAAGAAUUUUAAGAAAUAGAAAAAAAAAAAGAUGGGUUUUAUUUAAGGUUGGAAAUUAGAGAGAUGAGAAAAGUGGGGUGCCAGAAAAGGUUGGCACUUAAUAAUAGAUUGAAAGAAGAAGAAGAAGAAGAAGAGAAGAAGAAAGAAGAAAGAAGAAGGAAGAAGAUAGGGGUGUUUUUGUAAUUAAGGAGAAAUAAAUGAGGUGGGGGCUCUAGGGUUGAGAAGGGGUAUCUUGAAUGAUUUGGUGCAUGAAAAGACAAAAGAAGGGUCCCGUGAUGAAAAAAAAGGGCUAAAAUAGAAAACUUAAAUGUGUGUGGUGUGAGAUGGAAAAAAGUCUCAUUGGAAGGACAAUGGGGACAAGCUCCUUAAAUUUUAUCGUUGCCAGCUCUAAGCAUCGUAAUGGUCCAACAUAGCCUUAAUGAUCCCAUUUAAUGUGUAACUAUUACACUUGUCAAACUGAUUCAAGUUCCACAUGCCCCACUAUCUCCUCAAAACAUUUUUCACUUCCCUUUUACCCACCUUCUCAUCCAACAUUUUUCUUACCACUUUCUUUUUUAUCAAUUAUAUUAACAUUCAAAUAUACCCUCUUUUAUCAAUUCUAGAGAGAAUUAACACUCAG
This 796-nucleotide long non-coding RNA is filed under the name Vigna radiata. RNAcentral's name for it is "long non-coding RNA (VRAD_LNC000072)". The record is from RNAcentral. Lineage: Eukaryota; Viridiplantae; Streptophyta; Magnoliopsida; Fabales; Fabaceae.